CAACAGGGAUUGCCCCAGUAACGGCGAGUGAAGCGGCAACAGCUCAAAUUUGAAAUCUGGCUCUCGGGCCCGAGUUGUAAUUUGUAGAGGAUGCUUUUGGUGAGGUGCCUUCCGAGUUCCCUGGAACGGGACGCCAUAGAGGGUGAGAGCCCCGUCUGGUUGGACACCGAUCCUCUGUAAAGCUCCUUCGACGAGUCGAGUAGUUUGGGAAUGCUGCUCUAAAUGGGAGGUAUAUGUCUUCUAAAGCUAAAUACCGGCCAGAGACCGAUAGCGCACAAGUAGAGUGAUCGAAAGAUGAAAAGAACUUUGAAAAGAGAGUUAAACAGUACGUGAAAUUGUUGAAAGGGAAGCGCUUGUGACCAGACUUGGGCUUGGUUGAUCAUCCGGGGUUCUCCCCGGUGCACUCUUCCGGCUCAGGCCAGCAUCAGUUCGCCCUGGGGGACAAAGGCUUCGGGAAUGUGGCUCUCUCCGGGGAGUGUUA
Molecule: non-coding RNA, 481 nt
Filed under: Fusarium solani
Lineage: Eukaryota; Fungi; Ascomycota; Sordariomycetes; Hypocreales; Nectriaceae
Also listed under: 1 other name
Description: sequence contains ITS2, 28S rRNA gene
Rfam family: Eukaryotic large subunit ribosomal RNA
Source: RNAcentral